GAGGACGCAGAGCUGCAGCCGGGCGCAGACGCGCGAAUGGAUAAGACUCAAAGAUAAUCAAUGCACAAGGUAGAGUGGGAGUUAAGAGUGCAGACCCUGGAAAAGAUCUGAAAAGACACCUUGCUAAGGAAAACAUACAAGAAGCCAGUAAACAUCAGCAAAAACGGUGCAUGGAUAAUUGGAGUACCUCUUCACAAUGGAUUCUACCCAGGUAAAAAAAGCAAAGAACGACUCUUGAUACAGCACACAGGUGAGUCUCAUAAACACUAUGCUCAGGAAGGAAGCCAGACACUGCUUAGGAAUAACUCCACUAGCCCUUUAAGCCCAGCUGAGCUGGGUCUUUGGUUACAGUUAGCUGACAGCAUCUCAGGACAGGAGGGCACUGCAUUUGGG
Molecule: long non-coding RNA, 393 nt
Organism: Heterocephalus glaber (naked mole-rat)
Lineage: Eukaryota; Metazoa; Chordata; Mammalia; Rodentia; Bathyergidae
Source: Ensembl